AUCCCAUGAUAAGGGAAAUUCCUUAACAACUCUUUGAAUCUCCCCCAUGCAUCAUACUAUGAUUCCCUCUCCAUCUGAUAGAAAUUAUUAAUUUCUCCCCUUAACUU
This is a small nucleolar RNA of Humulus lupulus (European hop), 107 nucleotides long. Lineage: Eukaryota; Viridiplantae; Streptophyta; Magnoliopsida; Rosales; Cannabaceae. The record is from RefSeq and is a predicted model, not a curated record.